RNAcentral lists this long non-coding RNA (282 nucleotides) under Gallus gallus (chicken). Its description in RNAcentral is "long non-coding RNA NONGGAT002217". The record is from RNAcentral. Lineage: Eukaryota; Metazoa; Chordata; Aves; Galliformes; Phasianidae.
AAACUCCAUUCAUUUGAAUAUUCCCAUUGAUUAAGGGAAAGAGAGGAAAUAUGCUGCAUUACCUGUAGGAGGUGUGCCUGCUUUUGCUAACAGAUGUUCCUGCUUCGUGGAUGAAUGCCUAACUGGUCAGAUCCUUUCCUGGUGAACGCUGGUAUCUCUGAGAUAUGUCAACUUCCAGAAAGGUUUUGUCAAAUGACACAACUGAUGAAGACUUCACGCUCACCAUGCAGUACUGUCCCAAGGAACAGAAGACAAGGGUGGAUGCAUGGAGCAGCCCAGCAC